Molecule: ribosomal RNA, 198 nt
Filed under: uncultured bacterium
Lineage: Bacteria
Description: partial 16S ribosomal RNA
Rfam family: Bacterial small subunit ribosomal RNA
Source: RNAcentral
ACGCUCGACACCUACGGGAUGCAGCAGUGGGGAAUAUUGCACAAUGGGGGAAACCCUGAUGCAGCGACGCCGCGUGAGUGAAGAAGUAUUUCGGUAUGUAAAGCUCUAUCAGCAGGGAAGAAGAUGACGGUACCUGAGUAAGAAGCCCCGGCUAACUACGUGCCAGCAGCCGCGGUAAUCUGAGCGGGCUGGCAAGGC